GACGAACGCUGGCGGCGUGCUUAACACAUGCAAGUCGAACGAUGAAGAAGAGAAACGCGAACUUCGGUUCAAAUUUCACUUCGGAUUAGUGGCAGACGGGUGAGUAACGCGUGAGCAACCUACCUCUUACAAAGGGAUAGCCUCGGGAAACCGUGAUUAAUACCAUAUGACACAUUCAUAAGGCAUCUUAAGAAUAUUAAAGCUACGGCGGUAAGAGAUGGGCUCGCGUCCCAUUAGCUAGUUGGUGAGGUAACGGCCCACCAAGGCGACGAUGGGUAACCGGCCUGAGAGGGUGAACGGUCACAUUGGAACUGAGACACGGUCCAAACUCCUACGGGAGGCAGCAGUGGGGAAUAUUGCACAAUGGAGGGAACUCUGAUGCAGCGACGCCGCGUGAGCGAUGAAGGAAUUCGUUUCGUAAAGCUCUGUUCUAUGGGAAGAAAAGGACUGUACCAUAGGAGAAAGCCCCGGCUAAAUACGUG
Molecule: ribosomal RNA, 482 nt
Filed under: uncultured bacterium
Lineage: Bacteria
Description: partial 16S ribosomal RNA
Rfam family: Bacterial small subunit ribosomal RNA
Source: RNAcentral